CUGGGAACUGCGUUUGUGACUGCAAGGCUAGAGUACGGCAGAGGGGGGUGGAAUUCCACGUGUAGCAGUGAAAUGCGUAGAGAUGUGGAGGAACACCAAUGGCGAAGGCAGCCCCCUGGGUCGAUACUGACGCUCAUGCACGAAAGCGUGGGUAGCAAACAGGAUUAGAUACCCUGGUAGUCCACGCCCUAAACGAUGUCAACUAGGUGUUGGGUGGGUAAAACCAUUUAGUACCGGAGCUAACGCGUGAAGUUGACCGCCUGGGGAGUACGGCCGCAAGGUUAAAACUCAAAGGAAUUGACGGGGACCCGCACAAGCGGUGGAUGAUGUGGAUUAAUUCGAUGCAACGCGAAAAACCUUACCUACCCUUGACAUGUCCAGAAGCCUGAAGAGAUUUGGGUGUGCCCGAAAGGGAACUGGAACACAGGUGCUGCAUGGCUGUCGUCAGCUCGUGUCGUGAGAUGUUGGGUUAAGUCCCGCAACGAGCGCAAC
RNAcentral lists this ribosomal RNA (492 nucleotides) under uncultured bacterium. RNAcentral describes it as "bacterial SSU rRNA". It matches the Rfam family "Bacterial small subunit ribosomal RNA", at positions 614 to 1102 of the family's 1533-position model. The record is from RNAcentral.